Triticum aestivum (bread wheat) is the source of this 135-nucleotide non-coding RNA. NCBI's taxonomy places the organism in Eukaryota, Viridiplantae, Streptophyta, Magnoliopsida, Poales, Poaceae. The record is from Rfam.
CUGUUACUCCCUCCGUCCGAAAAUACUUGUUAUAAAAAUGGAUAAAAAAUGAUGUAUCUAAAACUAAAAUACGUCUAGAUACACCACCUUUUAGCCAUUUUGAUAACAAGUAUUUUCGGACGGAGGGAGUAGAAU